This is a long non-coding RNA of Sebastes umbrosus (honeycomb rockfish), 274 nucleotides long. RefSeq lists it as uncharacterized. The record is from RefSeq and is a predicted model, not a curated record. The transcript is spliced from 2 exons. Lineage: Eukaryota; Metazoa; Chordata; Actinopteri; Perciformes; Sebastidae.
CAACCUUGACAAAGGUAGCACAGACCAGAUCCACUCCUUCCGUUCUUACCUUUCACAAAAGUGGAAACAGAUGAUUGGAAAGAGAGGAGUUAGAAAGGAAAGAAAAAGGCGACACAGGAGACGAUGAAGACGAUCUGGUCGCCGAUCAAAGCCUCCUACAAUCUUGACGUAUGGAGGUCAGUCAUCUGCUUCAGCAUCCUGGAGGAAUAUCCUUCUGCUGUUUGGGUCACAUGUCAGCUGGUGACUGACACAAAUACACAGCAGAAAAAGAGAC